CACGGGGGGAACGAGCGUUGUUCGGAUUUACUGGGCGUAAAGGGUGCGUAGGCGGGUCGGCCAGUCGGGUGUGAAAUGUCACGGCUUAACCGUGAAUCGGCAUCCGAAACUACCGGUCUUGAGUACUGGAGAGGAAAGUGGAAUUCCUGGUGUAGCGGUGAAAUGCGUAGAUAUCAGGAGGAACACCGGCGGCGAAAGCGGCUUUCUGGACAGAUACUGACGCUGAUGCACGAAGGCCGGGGGAGCAAACAGG
This 253-nucleotide ribosomal RNA is filed under the name uncultured bacterium. RNAcentral's name for it is "partial 16S ribosomal RNA". It matches the Rfam family "Bacterial small subunit ribosomal RNA", at positions 524 to 776 of the family's 1533-position model. The record is from RNAcentral.